UCUCCGUAGGUGAACCUGCGGAGGGAUCAUUACCGAGCGAGGGCCCCCGGCCCGACCUCCAACCCUUUGUGUUUCUGACUGUGUUGCCUCGGGGGCGACCCGGCGCGUUUAUCGCGUUGGGGCCCCCGGCGGACCACCCAACCCUGCAUCGUUGCGUCUGAGUCGAAAUAUAAAUCAAUCAAAACUUUCAACAACGGAUCUCUUGGUUCUGGCAUCGAUGAAGAACGCAGC
Molecule: unclassified non-coding RNA, 231 nt
Filed under: uncultured fungus
Lineage: Eukaryota; Fungi
Description: sequence contains ITS1, 5.8S rRNA gene
Rfam family: 5.8S ribosomal RNA (bases 183-231)
Source: RNAcentral